CCGAAGAGGCCACAUGUAGGUGCUCUGGUUGGCAGUCUUAGUCUUUGAUUCAUCCUACCCACUCAUGUGAGUGGAGGAGCCUCUAAGUGAUGUCAGCCUCCUGCUGUGGAGUCACUUCCAGCUUCCAUGUCUUCUCAGCUGCGGUCCCGGACGUCAUGGAACAGAGCAGUGUAAUAUUAGGAAAUGGAGAAGAUCAUAUAAAUGCCGCAGUUCAGACUGAAUCUGAAAAAUGGAGUUUGAAACAUGUAAAAGAAGUCUGGGGCAACCAUAACCAGGAUGUUUCUGAUUGACACCUACUCCCUCAUCCUAGUCCCAUCUGAGUUUGUGAUGAAAGGCCACGUGAGGACACAACAAGAUAUCAGUCACCUGCAAACCCCAAAGAGAGCCCCUACCAGAUCUGGACCGUGCUUACAUCCUGAUCUCAGACCUCCAGCUUCCUGAACUGUGAGAAAAUUAACAUGUGUUGUUUAAGCCACCCAGGCUAUGGUAUUUUGUUACGGCAGCCCAAGCUGAUCAAUACAGGGUGUGAGGUGGCUUCCUCUCUAUUUAAACUAAAAGAGAAUAAAGACAAUAGUUUACUUUGUAGUAUGUGGAAAGUAAGUUACACAUAAUGCAGCAUGUAGAGAAAGAAUGUUGGUCUAGAAUGAUGGUAUUGAGCUUCUAAUCUUGCUUCAGUCAUCUGUCUGUGUGAUCUUGUCUUGGGCAAGCUGUAAAAGAUGGAAGCCUGUGGGGCAUCUUAGUUUCCCAAUUUCCAAAAUAAAGAGAUUUCAGCAAAAUGUUUUUUCAAGGUCUUACUCCUUCUCCUUGAAGGUUCAUUUGAUUUCCAUAAUCAUUUUUUCUCUCCCUUGAUUAAACAAUGAAAAAUGAAACACUUGAGGACUAUCUAGGGUUGUGGAGGUGUGUACCUUUUAAAUUAUGCUGAACCUCAUCUGUCUGGGAUAAUACAUGCAAUUUACCUGGGCAGUAGACCUGCUAAUUUCUCUCUGGUGUUUCCUCAAGCCAUCAGGUUUUCUGGUACUUGAUCUUUAUUUUUAAUAGCUUAUAGAUAGAGAUAAUACAUUUUUUGAAUUCAAUAGACAGUUCUAGUGAUAUUAUUAAUCCAAAUAAAAGUAUGCUAAACCUUACUUUACACUUUGAGAAAACCUUUUGCUUAU
RNAcentral lists this long non-coding RNA (1154 nucleotides) under Homo sapiens (human). Its description in RNAcentral is "HSALNT0138490". The record is from RNAcentral. Lineage: Eukaryota; Metazoa; Chordata; Mammalia; Primates; Hominidae.